GGGGUUGUGGCUCAGUGGUAGAGCACUUGCCUAGCAUGUGGGAGGCACUGGGUUCAAUCCUCAGCACCA
RNAcentral lists this transfer RNA (69 nucleotides) under Urocitellus parryii (Arctic ground squirrel). RNAcentral's name for it is "Spermophilus parryii (Arctic ground squirrel) tRNA". It matches the Rfam family "tRNA". Rfam says of the family: Transfer RNA (tRNA) molecules are approximately 80 nucleotides in length. Their secondary structure includes four short double-helical elements and three loops (D, anti-codon, and T loops). The record is from Rfam by way of RNAcentral. RNAcentral also lists the same sequence under 1 other name. Lineage: Eukaryota; Metazoa; Chordata; Mammalia; Rodentia; Sciuridae.